RNAcentral lists this ribosomal RNA (230 nucleotides) under uncultured bacterium. Its description in RNAcentral is "partial 16S ribosomal RNA". It matches the Rfam family "Bacterial small subunit ribosomal RNA", at positions 524 to 752 of the family's 1533-position model. The record is from RNAcentral.
UACGGGGGGGGCAAGCGUUGUUCGGAAUUACUGGGCGUAAAGGGUGCGUAGGCGGCUUUCUAAGUCGGAUGUGAAAACUCUGGGCUCAACCCAGAGCCUGCAUCUGAAACUGGAGAGCUAGGGUUUUGGAGGGGAAAGCGGAAUUCCAGGUGUAGCGGUGAAAUGCGUAGAUAUCAGGAAGAACACCCGUGGCGAAGGCGGCUCUCUGGGGACGGUACUGACGCUGAGAC